CGGUGGUUGAGAAGGGAGGGGAAAAAAACUGGAGGAGAUUCCAUGAGAGACCAGACUCAACCCUCCUUCCCCGCUGCAGAACGACUCCAAUGCCCAGUCCACAAGCACAUGCUACAGGACCCGGGACACCUCCUGGCAUUGAUUAUUAGCAUUUUAACAAAUAUGAGUAUUUCCAAGUGUGGACAGAAGUGGAUCUUCAGGAAUAUUAUUUAUGGAUGACCAAAACGCUUAUUGCCCAAACUGAAUAAAGUAUAUUAUUCAUGUCUGUCCUCAAAACCAUUUACGAA
This is a long non-coding RNA of Mastomys coucha (southern multimammate mouse), 287 nucleotides long. RefSeq lists it as uncharacterized. The record is from RefSeq and is a predicted model, not a curated record. NCBI's taxonomy places the organism in Eukaryota, Metazoa, Chordata, Mammalia, Rodentia, Muridae. The transcript has 2 exons.